Oryza sativa Japonica Group (Japanese rice) is the source of this 2247-nucleotide non-coding RNA. NCBI's taxonomy places the organism in Eukaryota, Viridiplantae, Streptophyta, Magnoliopsida, Poales, Poaceae. The record is from RefSeq and is a predicted model, not a curated record.
UCUUCUCUUCUCAACUUCUCACGCGCAGGCGGGUGUGCGGGCGCGGCCGCCGGCGCUGCGGGCUCUGCGGUGCACGGGGAAGAAGCGGGAGAGGGGGAGAGGAGGCGGCCGGCACCAGAGAAGGGGAGAGAGGCGGCCGGCGCGAGGCCCGCGCCGAGGUGGAGGGCAUGGGCGCCCCGGCGCUCCCCGCGCGCCACCGCCUGCGCGUGGAGGGGAACCGGUGGCAGCGGGACUGGAAGUUGUCGGAGGCCGCCGCGCGCCUAGGCCGGCGCCGUCUACGUGCUCAACUGCUGGGCUGGCCGCAACUUCCCUCUCCUCAUCCGCACCAGCUCGUAAGAUUUGCUGCCGCACCCAGGUGGAUCAGCUGCCCGACGGAAUGGAGCCGAUACACCCUUAAGAUGGCCGCAAGAGAAAGAAGGACACUUGUGAUGCCUUCCUUCAACAUGAUCCAGUACAAGACUCACAACCACAAAUAAGAUACCAGUAGCUAAAGCUUGCACGGCAUGAGCAUAUGCUCCAGGAAUCGCCAUGGCAGAUAGACUCUUGGGAGGGAUGAACAAGAUUUUGCCACAUUAAGUAGGGCGAUUACUCUACAAGAUUGUGAUGUUUUUUUUUUCAGGAAUACGCAAGGAGCGCAUCUUUGUAUUAAGAGGAGAUUGUGAUGCUGUUGACUCGAGAUUGAGAUGUUGUUGACUUGGAAGUUUUGAUUCACAAAACUACAAUACUUUAGCACUCAAUUCCUGCCCAAUUUUUUCGUACCCUCAGUAAUAAUAGGCUGCAGAUAACUGGAACAGCGCCAUAUGUAAGUUCCAUCCACUGGUGGAAUCACCCUCUGCAGUCACUUAGCUAUCAAGAGUUCAUGGCAAAUCUUAUCGUGAUUCAGCACAUGCUGCCUUUCCAUGUCACCUCAGUAGAUUUGAUCUUAGCACAAAAUGUAUAAGUUCCAUUUGGCAUUUACAAGUCUUCUGGAAUAAGAAAGGAAAAACGAGGACAUCCACAGGCCAAAAAUGAAAAGAAUAUUGUAAACAGUCUAAACCACAGAAUUUUUCUAACCAGCAAAACACGGCAGAAGUAUCAUUGGCUGCUGAAUUUCCUUCUCUACCACUCCUGAGUGGAUAUAUGAGAGUAACCAAUGGGCAGGAUCUGGUAUUUACCAUGGAGACAUCAGAAGGGGGCACUAUGGUGCAUUCAGUGGAACCCAAAAAAUCGACCCUCAAUGACAAAGGUGGUAAACAUGUUAACAGGGAGGUUGCAGAAUCUAUAGGCAGGAGGCUCCCCACGGUCUAGAAUGUGGGAGGCGGAGGUGUUGUGAUGGACCGAGAGGAGAUGAUAAAUGUGGCGUCGGGCUUGGUAGAGAUUAGACAAAUCGGUGCCGUCAGCGGCGCCACCAUUGAUGAUCUGAGGACACACGGCUGCAACAACAGACGACGAUGAGGGCGACGGCGAGGCAUGGUCGCAAAGCUACCGGGAGGAAGCGGUUUACUCAUCUGCCAACGGAGAGGACGAGCGGCGGCGGAGGCGUAGGCAGGCCGCAGCCGCCGGAAUGCCGGAUUAACCGGAGCGCGCCGGCGGGGAUGCGGCGGAGGGAGGGGAAGGGGAAGGGAAAUCACGUUCCGGGCCGAUACCGUUCUUCUGGGCCGACAGCUUCAGCCCUAAAAUGUUUCAGCCUACUAAAGCUGCAAGGCCAGAAGGAGACGCCGCGGGGACAGGCCUGCAAUGCAUACAUGCAAGGCCUUCUCCCAUAGUGGGCUGCAUUGCAGUUUAUGUGGGCCUUACUGAUCUCCUCUUACAAAAGGAUUCGGCCCACCCACAAGCUUAAUCAGGCACGACCCGAUCAUUACCGUGGGCCUUCAUCCAGCCACUAUCAUCCAAACGCAGCGAUGAUAGACACCAUAUCUAAUUUUACGAUUUUGCUAUACAUCUCACGGGUGAUUUUUUUUGACUGAUAUUUCAUGUUUUUCUAUCCAUAGGAUCCCUCGCUAGGAUUUGUGCAAUAAUUGGUGGAGGCUGCAUACGUGGAUAAUACCAUGCGUCGGAUGUGGAGGAGGCUUGCAGCUCUGUACCUGUGCCGCUGCGCGUGCUAUGCUUUCCUCCUGUGGUCAGAGUCGUCAGACAAACAUAAACAGGGGGUGUACAGUGAAUUUGUUAGUCAUACAUGAAUAUAUUGGAUAUUUGGAUUACAGCUCCCAGCGAUAACAACAGGCGCUACUAGGCUGUCCAAAUCGUGGCAUUUCAUUUCAGCAAAAA